GAAGUAGAUAGCUUAACCUUCGGGGGGGCGUUUACCACGGUAUGAUUCAUGACUGGGGUGAAGUCGUAACAAGGUAACCGUAGGGGAACCUGCGGUUGGAUCACCUCCUUACCAA
Molecule: ribosomal RNA, 115 nt
Filed under: Dialister invisus
Lineage: Bacteria; Bacillati; Bacillota; Negativicutes; Veillonellales; Veillonellaceae
Description: partial 16S ribosomal RNA
Rfam family: Bacterial small subunit ribosomal RNA
Source: RNAcentral